AAACCAAGCAUUACCUCACAGGUCUCCAGGGUUAAACCUAUCUGUGCCAUUACGUGUCUGCCAUGCCUACCGUGUGCAGCUGGGUCUGCCAAGAGACAGCUCAAGGAGGGGGGGGAGGAAGUGAAACAAACUAGGACCAGACUAAUCCAUUUACUUAAGUCUUCUUGUCCUGCAAGCACCAGACAUCAGUUUCAGAAGGAGGG
RNAcentral lists this long non-coding RNA (203 nucleotides) under Anas platyrhynchos platyrhynchos (common mallard). RNAcentral's name for it is "lncRNA (ENSAPLG00000022965.1)". Lineage: Eukaryota; Metazoa; Chordata; Aves; Anseriformes; Anatidae. The record is from RNAcentral.